UUCCGGUUGAUCCCGCCGGACCCGACUGCUAUCAGAGUGAGAUUAAGCCAUGCGAGUUAACGUAGCAAUACGUGGCGCACGGCUCAGUAACACGUAGUCAACAUGCCCAGAGGACGUGGAUAACCUCGGGAAACUGAGUCUAAACCGCGAUAAGUGAGGAUUUCUGGAAUGGAUCCUGACUAAAAUCUAUAUGGCCUCUGGAUUGGACUGCGGCCGAUCAGGCUGUUGGUGAGGUAAUGGCCCACCAAACCUGUAACCGGUACGGGCUCUGAGAGGAGGAGCCCGGAGAUGGGCACUGAGACAAGGGCCCAGGCCCUAUGGGGCGCAGCAGGCGCGAAACCUCUGCAAUAGGCGAAAGCCUGACAGGGUUACUCUGAGUGACUUUCGCUAAGAAAGUCUUUUGGCACCUCUAAAAAGGGUGCAGAAUAAGGGGUGGGCAAGUCUGGUGUCAGCCGCCGCGGUAAUACCAGCACCCCGAGUGGUCGGGACGAUUAUUGGGCCUAAAGCAUCCGUAGCCGGUUCUGCAAGUCCUCCGUUAAAUCCAGCUGCUCAACAGAUGGGCCGCGGAGGAUACUACAGAGCUAGGAGGCAGGAGAGGCAAGCGGUACUCAGUGGGUAGGGGUAAAAUCCGUUGAUCCAUUGAAGACCACCAGUGGCGAAGGCGGCUUGCCAGAAUGCGCUCGAC
RNAcentral lists this ribosomal RNA (685 nucleotides) under uncultured archaeon. RNAcentral describes it as "bacterial SSU rRNA". It matches the Rfam family "Archaeal small subunit ribosomal RNA", at positions 1 to 695 of the family's 1478-position model. The record is from RNAcentral.